CCUACGGGGAGGCAGCAGUAGGGAAUAUUGGUCAAUGGACGAGAGUCUGAACCAGCCACGCCGCGUGCAGGAAGAAGGCGUUAUGCGUUGUAAACUGCUUUUGACAGGGGACAAAGAGUGGAUGCGUCCAAAGAUGAGUGUACCUGUAGAAUAAGCACCGGCUAACUACGUGCCAGCAGCCGCGGUAAUACGUAGGGUGCAAGCGUUGUCCGGAUUUAUUGGGUUUAAAGGGAGCGUAGGCGGCCAAAUAAGUCAGUGGUGAAAGAAAUGGGCUUAACCCAUGAGCUGCCAUUGAUACUGUUUGGCUUGAGUACUGAUGAGGUAGGCGGAAUUGACAGUGUAGCGGUGAAAUGCUUAGAUAUUGUCAAGAACACCGAUUGCGAAGGCAGCUUACUAAGGAGUUACUGACGCUGAGGCUCGAAAGCGUGGGGAUCGAACAGGAUUAGAUACCCCAGUAGUC
RNAcentral lists this ribosomal RNA (460 nucleotides) under uncultured bacterium. Its description in RNAcentral is "bacterial SSU rRNA". It matches the Rfam family "Bacterial small subunit ribosomal RNA", at positions 338 to 795 of the family's 1533-position model. The record is from RNAcentral.